UAGGGAAUCUUCGGCAAUGGGGGGAACCCUGACCGAGCAACGCCGCGUGAGUGAAGAAGGUUUUCGGAUCGUAAAGCUCUGUUGUUAAGGAAGAACGAGUGUGAGAAUGGAAAGUUCAUACUGUGACGGUACUUAACCAGAAAGGGACGGCUAACUACGUGCCAGCAGCCGCGGUAAUACGUAGGUCCCGAGCGUUGUCCGGAUUUAUUGGGCGUAAAGCGAGCGCAGGCGGUUAGAUAAGUCUGAAGUUAAAGGCAGUGGCUCAACCAUUGUAGGCUUUGGAAACUGUUUAACUUGAGUGCAGAAGGGGGGGGUGUAAUUCAUGUGUAGCGGUGAAAUGCGUAGAUAUAUGGAGGAACACCAGUGGCGAAGGCGACUCUCUGGUCUGUAACUGACGCUGGGGCUCGAAAGCGUGGGUAGCAAACAGG
RNAcentral lists this ribosomal RNA (428 nucleotides) under Bacteroidota bacterium. RNAcentral's name for it is "Bacteroidetes bacterium partial 16S ribosomal RNA". It matches the Rfam family "Bacterial small subunit ribosomal RNA", at positions 355 to 776 of the family's 1533-position model. The record is from RNAcentral. Lineage: Bacteria; Pseudomonadati; Bacteroidota.